This 308-nucleotide ribosomal RNA is filed under the name uncultured bacterium. RNAcentral's name for it is "bacterial SSU rRNA". It matches the Rfam family "Bacterial small subunit ribosomal RNA", at positions 28 to 342 of the family's 1533-position model. The record is from RNAcentral.
GAUGAACGCUAGCGGCAGGCUUAACACAUGCAAGUCGAGGGGUAUUGGUUUUCGGACCAAGAGACCGGCGCACGGGUGCGUAACGCGUAUGCAAUCUACCUUUUGCAGAGGGAUAGCCCAGAGAAAUUUGGAUUAAUACCUCAUAGUAUAGUACUUUGGCAUCAAGGAACUAUUAAAGUCACAACGGCAAAGAUGAGCAUGCGUCCAUUAGCUAGUUGGUAAGGUAACGGCUUACCAAGGCUACGAUGGUAGGGGGUCCUGAGAGGGAGAUCCCCACACUGGUACUGAGACACGGACCAGACUCCUAC